UUAAGUCUGGGGAUACCAUUUGGAAACAGAUGCUAAUACCGGAUAAAAGCUACUUUCGCAUGAAAGAAGUUUAAAAGGACGGCGUAAAGCUGUCGCUAAAGGAUGGGACCUGCGAUGCAUUAGCUAGUUGGUAAGGUAACGGCUUACCAAGGCGAUGAUGCAUAGCCGAGUUGAGAGACUGAUCGGCCACAUUGGGACUGAGACACGGCCCAAAACUCCUACGGGGAGGCAGCAGUAGGGAAUCUUCCACAAUGGACGAAAGUCUGAUGGAGCAACGCCGCGUGAGUGAAGAAGGUUUUCGGAUCGUAAAAGCUCUGUUGUUGGUGAAGAAGGAUAGAGGUAGUAACUGGCCUUUAUUUGACGGUAAUCAACCAGAAAGUCACGGCUAACUACGUGCCAGCAGCCGCGGUAAU
Molecule: ribosomal RNA, 413 nt
Filed under: uncultured Lactobacillus sp.
Lineage: Bacteria; Bacillati; Bacillota; Bacilli; Lactobacillales; Lactobacillaceae
Description: bacterial SSU rRNA
Rfam family: Bacterial small subunit ribosomal RNA
Source: RNAcentral